AGGCGUUGUCUUAGAGAAAAAAAAAAUUAAAAAAAAUAGAACGGGUUGAGUAUCCCUUUUGAAAUUUUUAUCAUCGUUUCUAGAUAGUAAUAUAAAGGUUUCUACGAAGUUACAACAAAAUGUAGUGUCCACGAGCAGAGAUAUAGACAUUUAAAGAAGUAGUAUAUAGGCAUUGUCUUAAAGAAAAAAAAAAUAGAAGGGAUUGAGUAUCCCUUUUGAAAUUUUUAUCAUCGUUUCUAGAUAGUAAUAUAAAGGUUUCUGCAAAGUUACAACAAAAUGCAGUGUCUAUGAGCCGAGAUAUGAUAACUUUAAUAAAUUUUAUUUAAUCGUCUGCUUAGAAAAAAUCCCAA
This 350-nucleotide unclassified non-coding RNA is filed under the name Melitaea cinxia (Glanville fritillary). Its description in RNAcentral is "misc RNA ENSMCXG00005020830.1". Lineage: Eukaryota; Metazoa; Arthropoda; Insecta; Lepidoptera; Nymphalidae. The record is from RNAcentral.